RNAcentral lists this ribosomal RNA (255 nucleotides) under uncultured bacterium. RNAcentral's name for it is "partial 16S ribosomal RNA". It matches the Rfam family "Bacterial small subunit ribosomal RNA", at positions 524 to 776 of the family's 1533-position model. The record is from RNAcentral.
UACAGAGGGGGCAAGCGUUAUUCGGAAUUAUUGGGCGUAAAGGGCGCGUAGGCGGUAUGGCAAGUGGAAGGUGAAAUCCCUCGGCUUAACCGAGGAACUGCCCCUCCAAACUGCUUUUACUUGAGGCCGGGAGAGGUGAGUGGAAUUCCCAGUGUAGCGGUGAAAUGCGUAGAUAUUGGGAGGAACACCAGUGGCGAAGGCGGCUCACUGGACCGGUUCUGACGCUGAAGCGCGAAAGCGUGGGGAGCAAACGGG